This is a long non-coding RNA of Myripristis murdjan (pinecone soldierfish), 1041 nucleotides long. RefSeq lists it as uncharacterized. The transcript is spliced from 2 exons. The record is from RefSeq and is a predicted model, not a curated record. NCBI's taxonomy places the organism in Eukaryota, Metazoa, Chordata, Actinopteri, Holocentriformes, Holocentridae.
CCUAGGGGGAACAGCAGACUAAGUGGCUAGGGAUGUGGGAACUGAAGGUCUUCAUCCCACAUGCAGUUGCAGCCAUCCUUCUACAGAGAAAGACCUCUUAUUUGUCGGCAACAUGGAUUCACAGCUUCCGUUGCAAGAAAGCCCUGGAUGUGCCUGUGGAUGUGCCUGCAGAAGAAGACUGGAGGAACAUCCCUGAAGACAACUGACUGCCAUGGAGGGGGGACCAAAAUCUUCUUGCAUACUUUCAAACAAUUAGAUCCUCCUUAAAUAAGGGCAUGACAAUCCUCUGCAUGAUAAUCUUCAUGAUUGUAUUCCUCUUGUUUUGGUCUGAACAUAACCUGGAGUUUGUUUGAAUUUCAUGCACUAAGGUUUUUCCCUCACAUAUGUAUAUGAGGGUUUUUUUUUCUAGUGCACAUAUUAUUAGAUAGCCAUAUGAAGUCUUUUACCCAUCUCCAGUCUCUUAAGGGGAAGGGAUGUUUGGCCUCAUAUGUAUCAUGUGACCUGGACUUUCUGUUUUGUUUGGGUAACUCUUUAUUGAAUCCUGUUGGAUCAAAUUAGGUUGAAAGAUGAACAGAAUCUCCAGGCCAUGUGAGUAGAUAAGACUGUGUUUAAUAACUUUGUAUCCAUGUUUAUGAUAUAUGUUUAUACCACCAUACAAUGAUUUUAAUGUUAAAAAGGAGGGAAUUGUGAAGGAAUUUAUCAUUAAAAUCAUGUAUUGCGUUAGCCUUUGUAUGACCUCAGAGUUAAACUGGUGGUUUGUGCCAUGGAGCAGACCCUCUACCAGCUUAUCUCAUUUAUAGGUGAUCAGUUACUUCUCUGGAAUUUAUGACUAGACCUGUUCAUUAGCUAGAUCUGGUUCUGGAAAGUUUUUAUUGCUUUAUUACCCGAUUGACUAUGUAAUACAUGCAAAGUAUAUGUAAAAUCAGAAGACCUUAAAAGUGUCCUGUCACCUCUGUCACAUUGACAAUCUACCUCCAAGCUUUGGUGUGUAUGAUUCUCCUGCUGUCACAGCAUUAAAGGCCUGAAGACCAUCUGACUGUU